GUCUCGGUAGCUCACUUGGUUAGAGCAUUGUCCUGAAAUGCCAAGGUUUUGGGUUCGAUGCCCGGUCAGGGCA
Non-coding RNA from Myotis davidii, 73 nucleotides. The record is from Rfam. NCBI's taxonomy places the organism in Eukaryota, Metazoa, Chordata, Mammalia, Chiroptera, Vespertilionidae.